GCGGGGGUGGCGGAACUGGCAGACGCGCUGGAUUUAGGUUCCAGUGGAGUAAUCCGUGCAGGUUCGAUUCCUGUCACCCGUA
Molecule: transfer RNA, 82 nt
Filed under: Leuconostoc sp.
Lineage: Bacteria; Bacillati; Bacillota; Bacilli; Lactobacillales; Lactobacillaceae
Description: tRNA-Leu
Rfam family: tRNA
About the family: Transfer RNA (tRNA) molecules are approximately 80 nucleotides in length. Their secondary structure includes four short double-helical elements and three loops (D, anti-codon, and T loops).
Source: RNAcentral